GUGGCUGGCAACCAAGCAGAACCGUGCAGAGAACAACACCUUUGAUCCCGGCCAUAUGGAGCUCCUCCAAGCAUGCCUGGGAUAGAGAAAUCCGUCACCUCCACGCUGGGUGUAAAGGGUGCUGUAAUUGUAAUCAAGCUGAUGGAUGACAGGAUAAGGAGAUAAGGUCCGAUUUGGCACAGUCUUCCAACACAGGCGCCUCAGUGGCCGACGUGCAGAUCCCACAUCAAAGUAAGAGUGGAAAAAGUCUUGCGGGGAUGACCUGUUACACCAAACAACAAAUAAAAGACACAAGAGAGACAAAAAGAGGGAAUUGAUCGCGCCCCACGUUCGGUAGGUGGCAUCGGCCCGACAGCAUCGCUGUGAGCGAGACGUUCCUUUCGAGUUGUGUCUGUCUCAGCACCUUUGCCACCCAAAGCUCGGAGACGGUUUUAAUUGCAACACGACAACCACAAGAAACGCACAAAAUCCUCAUAAAACUAUAGGAGCUGGCUGCGUUCCCAAUGAGGGCAGCAAAUCGGGGCGUAAUUACAGGUGACAUUCUGCUGAUUUUAGAGAAGUCGGUUCGUGUCGACUCCACCCUGAGCCGUUCUUCUCCAGGACAUCUUCGCCUACAGGGCUACACGAGAGCCAGCGCAGUGUGUGGGAAAGCGUCCCUCCCUGCCCGUUCUCCAACAUGCCUCACAGCUAUUUCUACAGUUUGCAUAAUAACUGGCUACGUGUGGGGAUCUUUCUAGAAAGCGUAUCUUGGUAAGCGGAAUAGUGGAAGAUCUCUGGAGAUGCGUGGAGAUUCCACCAGGAGAUGGGAAAUCACAAAAUAACACUAAAAAAAGAACAAAACACUGGAGUCUUCCUGAUUUAACAAUACUUUGGGAAGUUUUCAAACGGAUGCUCACACAACUGCAUUUCAAUAAUCAAGGGAUUGAUAUGUGAAUGUAAAUUAUUUAAUUAGUCCCUAUGAGUAAUAUUCUUGCUUCUCUUGUGCAAACCAUUUUGGUUGAAAGCCUACAUUUCUUUUUUUUUUUACUUGUAUUUGUAUUGUUAUUCUUCAAAGCAAUAUCAACUAACACCCUGAAAAUCUAAA
Long non-coding RNA from Paramisgurnus dabryanus, 1084 nucleotides. RefSeq lists it as uncharacterized. NCBI's taxonomy places the organism in Eukaryota, Metazoa, Chordata, Actinopteri, Cypriniformes, Cobitidae. The record is from RefSeq and is a predicted model, not a curated record.